RNAcentral lists this transfer RNA (69 nucleotides) under Condylura cristata (star-nosed mole). RNAcentral describes it as "tRNA-Ser". It matches the Rfam family "tRNA". Rfam says of the family: Transfer RNA (tRNA) molecules are approximately 80 nucleotides in length. The record is from RNAcentral. Lineage: Eukaryota; Metazoa; Chordata; Mammalia; Eulipotyphla; Talpidae.
GAGAAAGACAUAGUGGUUAUGGGAUUGGCUUGAAACCAGUUUUUGGGGGUUCGAAUCCUUCCUUUCUUA